This is a long non-coding RNA of Xenia sp. Carnegie-2017, 605 nucleotides long. RefSeq lists it as uncharacterized. The record is from RefSeq and is a predicted model, not a curated record. The transcript is spliced from 2 exons. NCBI's taxonomy places the organism in Eukaryota, Metazoa, Cnidaria, Anthozoa, Malacalcyonacea, Xeniidae.
UUCGUACAAACAGACGUUCGUACAAACAGACGUUCGUCUUACAUCUGCGUCCGCCGUCCGCUUCCGUCGUCUGCGUCCGCCGUCCGCGUCCGUCGUCCGCGCCUGCUUUUUAUCUACACCCGUCGUCGUUGUAAUAUCGAGAUAAUGACAAGAGAGUUGCCAAUGAUGCCAAAUAUAGCAACUGGAAAAAAGCGUCACACGAAGUUGAAAAUGCAAACUUAAGCAGAUGAGAAAGCAGGUGUUUGUUCAAGUCGUGAUAAAAAUGGGGAAUCUUUUCAAAUGGCAUGUACAUGCAAUUAUUUAAAUACGAUUUACAAAGAAUUGCAAACGCAUAAAUGAAAAUAACUUAAUGCAACAGAACAUACUCCAAAUAAAAUGUCCAUCUUUAACUCGAUAUUUGAAGUAAGAGAUGGGACACGCAAUAAUUAUGUUUAAAAUUAUUACAAAUGGAACAUUAGACUAAAUUGACAAACUAAAACUUGCUUUAUAACUGCUGAGAUGUGUUAUUACACAUGAUGCUACAAACAUAUUUACGACUGUUGUGAAUCACUAUGUUAUUAUUUUAAAAGAGGUGUGAGAUUCAUUAAAAUGAUUAAUUGUUUAAA